AAAGAAAAGAAAUACCGCCGCUGUACUCAAGCAAAUCCCUUUCAGGUUCUCACGAGAGCCGCUGAAACAUUAUCUAAAUCCCGUCUUCCUGUUACAGAUGAGGAAACUGGGGCGCACCUUGGCUCGUUCAAGGUGUCCUCAGAUAUCAAGUGGCAGAGCUGAUGCUGGAGUCUCAGGCGAGAGCAGCACCCUUUGACCUUUUCAACUCUUACCCGCCUGAAAAUGGAGGAAAAAAGGGACAAUAAUGCCUGCUCUACCUUCCAAGGAUGUUGAAAUUAUCAAACAGAUUGUGGAUAUUCAAGUGAUUUGGAAAAUUGUCAGAAUUUCCAGGGCCAGGGAUUGAACCUGCACCAGAGCAGAGACCUGAGCCACUGCAGUGACAAUGCCAAAUCGUUAAUCCACUGGGACACCAGGGAACUCCUCACUGAGAUUCUAGAGCCACCCGGAUUGGAAGCGGCUAAACGGCCUCCCACCCUUAAUCUCACUGUCUGAAUGAUAAAUCCUGCAGGACUUCUCCUUCCAUUCAAGCCCUUCACACUCUCCUUUGAGGAGCUGCUGCCUCCACCCCCCGACUUGUGUGACCGAUGACCAAUUGGAGAUGCCACAAGGAACAAAACUCAGCGAGGCCAGAAGGUCGUUUGGUGCCCAAACUGCCACUCUAGGAAAUGUCUGCAAAUUCAUCCGUGUAAUGUAGUUGAUCAAUGAGGACAACAUGGUGGGUUUGCAUUCUCUCUCGCCCCAAGGAAGCUCAGAGGAACAAAAUGGUAACUGAUCACUUGGACUUUGUUGUCCAGUAAUCAUGAAAGACGCAAAGGAUCCUGGUUCUUCUCCCUAUGAUGAGCUGCAAUCCCGAGGAUUUAUUGUGAGAUAAGGGGGCAGAUUCAAGGGUACAACAGUCUGUGGUCUUGAAAUAGGACAAAGGUAUUGGUUCCUUACAGGAAUGAAGCCAGUGAACUUAGA
This is a long non-coding RNA of Sus scrofa (pig), 960 nucleotides long. RefSeq lists it as uncharacterized. Lineage: Eukaryota; Metazoa; Chordata; Mammalia; Artiodactyla; Suidae. The record is from RefSeq and is a predicted model, not a curated record.